CCAGACUCCUACGGGAGGCAGCAGUGAGGAAUAUUGGUCAAUGGACGCAAGUCUGAACCAGCCAAGUAGCGUGCAGGAUGACGGCCCUCCGGGUUGUAAACUGCUUUUAGUUGGGAAUAAAAGGGGGCUCGUGAGCCCCGUAUUGUAUGUACCAUCAGAAAAAGGACCGGCUAAUUCCGUGCCAGCAGCCGCGGUAAUACGGAAGGUCCGGGCGUUAUCCGGAUUUAUUGGGUUUAAAGGGAGCGUAGGCCGGCUUUUAAGUCAGCGGUAAAAUUUCGGGGCUCAACCCCGUCGUGCCGUUGAAACUGACGCCCUUGAGUGAGUGAGAAGUAAGCGGAAUGCGUGGUGUAGCGGUGAAAUGCAUAGAUAUCACGCAGAACGCCGAUUGCGAAGGCAGCUUACCGGCGCUCAACUGACGCUGAGGCACGAAAGUGCGGGUAUCGAACAGGAUUAGAUACCCCAGUAAC
RNAcentral lists this ribosomal RNA (467 nucleotides) under uncultured bacterium. RNAcentral's name for it is "bacterial SSU rRNA". It matches the Rfam family "Bacterial small subunit ribosomal RNA", at positions 331 to 795 of the family's 1533-position model. The record is from RNAcentral.